RNAcentral lists this ribosomal RNA (245 nucleotides) under uncultured Nitrobacter sp. RNAcentral describes it as "partial 16S ribosomal RNA". It matches the Rfam family "Bacterial small subunit ribosomal RNA", at positions 524 to 768 of the family's 1533-position model. Lineage: Bacteria; Pseudomonadati; Pseudomonadota; Alphaproteobacteria; Hyphomicrobiales; Nitrobacteraceae. The record is from RNAcentral.
UACGUAGGGUGCAAGCGUUGCUCGGAAUCACUGGGCGUAAAGCGUACGCAGGCGGAUUGAUAAGUCAGGGGUGAAAUCCUGGAGCUCAACUCCAGAACUGCCUUUGAUACUGAGGGUCUUGAGUUCGGGAGAGGUGAGCGGAACUGCGAGUGUAGAGGUGAAAUUCGUAGAUAUUCGCAAGAACACCAGUGGCGAAGGCGGCUCACUAGCCCGAUACUGACGCUGAGGUGCGAAAGCGUGGGGAG